AUUGAACGCUGGCGGCAGGCUUAACACAUGCAAGUCGAGCGAGCGGCGGACGGGUGAGUAAUAUCUGGGAAACUGCCUGGUGGAGGGGGAUAACUACUGGAAACGGUAGCUAAUACCGCAUACCAUCAGAUGUGCCCAGAUGGGAUUAGCUAGUGGGGGGGGUAAUGGCUCACCAAGGCGACGAUCCCUAGCUGGUCUGAGAGGAUGACCAGCCACACUGGAACUGAGACACGGUCCAGACUCCUACGGGAGGCAGCAGUGGGGAAUAUUGCACAAUGGGCGCAAGCCUGAUGCAGCCAUGCCGCGUGUGUGAAGAAGGCCUUCGGGUUGUAAAGCACUUUCAGCGAGGAGGCGUUACCCACAGAAGAAGCACCGGCUAACUCCGUGCCAGCAGCCGCGGUAAUAC
Molecule: ribosomal RNA, 406 nt
Filed under: uncultured bacterium
Lineage: Bacteria
Description: partial 16S ribosomal RNA
Rfam family: Bacterial small subunit ribosomal RNA
Source: RNAcentral